AGGAGAUAUAGCUGGACUGUGGAAAAGGAUUGAAACAAAAAGAGCCAUCUGGGAAGCUAAGACACUUGAGAGGUUAAGCAACUUGCUGAGUUCAUCCAAAGAAGCCCGCGACAGAUUUGGCAAUUAGAAUCGAGAUGAAAAAGAACUGCAAACAUCUAGCACAAAGAGGACCAUUAUUGUCAUCUAAUCUCACUUCCUGCAUAACUCAAGCCCACAGAAUUUCACCCAAUGACUCCUCCACGCAUCUCAUGCCUUGGGGUUGAGUGAAAACGCCUCUUUUUUG
Molecule: long non-coding RNA, 283 nt
Organism: Alligator sinensis (Chinese alligator)
Lineage: Eukaryota; Metazoa; Chordata; Crocodylia; Alligatoridae
Exons: 3
Source: RefSeq, a predicted model, not a curated record